Molecule: long non-coding RNA, 6960 nt
Organism: Clupea harengus (Atlantic herring)
Lineage: Eukaryota; Metazoa; Chordata; Actinopteri; Clupeiformes; Clupeidae
Source: Ensembl
UAGAAAUAAACAUGUUCUCAGCAUAAUGUGGCUAUGUUGGACUUUUGGUAAAAGACUACUGAAAUUUGGUGUUUAUCCACACGCAUAUAACAACGGAGAAGAUCUAAGGCCAUAUCCUCUGCAUCUAGUCGGAGCUUUGAGCACUAAAUGUGCAAGACAUAGGAAGCUUUUCCCAGUGUGAGUAUUAUGGAGUAUCCACUGAAGGGUGAGCCAUGCAACAGCUGGCCCCGUGGAUCAUCUAACCAGGCCUACGUGAGCAGCAGUAUAGCUGUGUUUCUGAUUUAAGAGUGCAUUACAUGAGCAGAGUGGUGACUUUGUAUGAACUCAGGGGCAGAUGUAAUAACAUGUUAGUGCGUUUUAAGCCUGAUCUAUGGUUCUGUGUAGAAUGUACACUGUAGGUAGAGCCUAGCCCUGUACCCCACACUGUAUGUUUCUAUUUACAUUUACAUUUAGUCAUUUAGCAGAUGGUUUUAUCCAAAGCGACGUACAAAGGAGAGAACAAUCAAGCUACAAGCAAUUGAGACCUAGUGUAGCAAUAAAUACUACUUCACAUAAGAAAUAAAAAAAGUGCAGGAAUGUAACUACUGUAAGUGCGAGUUAAGUACUAGUUAGAGGAGAUAGCAUUAGAGGAAAGAUAAGGAGAGGUAGAGGAAGGGAGAGGAAGGGAGAGGAAGUGCAACAUUGGAAAGGAGGUGCUCUAUAAAGAAUUGGGUCUUCAAGAGCUUCUUAAGGGUAAAACAAUCUAAAGCUAUUUCUAGCCUACGCCAUAUCCUGAUGCACACCUCCCCAGAAAUGUAACUACAUGUUGCGGCAGCAUAGGCUGCAACAACUGUCAUUGCUCUGCUUGCCUAAUGUUGGUCUGUUGGUAAACCAAUCACACCACUAUGAACCACUGAUUGCUGUUUCAUUUUGCUAGCAAGCUGUCUACUUUCUGGGUAGUGUGUACCCUGUCUAUUUCUCAGUAACUUCUAAAAACAGAAUCUUAAAAAUACAAGCGGAGAAAAAGCCAAACUAAUUACAUUUAUACACAAACACGGCAGUUUACAGAGUUUGGUCCACCGUCUUUGUUUAUUUUUUUUCCAACCAGCGUGACUCAGAAAUAUCAGCACACAAGUGUAAAAGCCCACAAUGGCGUAGGCCACUCGUGUAGGCUACGGUGGAGGCUCUGCACAUGUCGGGCAAGCGGACCAAUCACAGAACAAGAAAGCCAUGAAGAGGCUCUCUUUUUGCUCACAGGCUCUUCAAACUUUUUUUCACAGAUGCAAACUCAAAAGUUUGAAAUGCCUUCGCACUCCUCGGUUCAAGAACCCAAGGGUGUCUCUGGGAAACCUCACCUUAUCUUCACAGAGGAACUGUUACCCUUGCAGAUGGAGUGGAUAAUGGCUAUUUCGAUGCAAUCCUAGGAGCGGUUAUUGCCACGGUCGUCCUGGUCAUCCUCUGCUUAGUGGUGGUGCUAAUGCGUUACAUGUACCGGCACAAGGGCACCUACCACACUAACGAGGCCAAGGGCACCGAGUUUGCGGAGACAGCGGAUGCCGCGCUCCGGGGCGACCCUGCUCUGCAGGACGCCAUGGACGAGAGCAAGAAAGAAUACUUUAUCUGACCUAAAACACAGGCUGAAGGAUGUUCCCUGUCGUAGACCCUCUCUUUAACGCAUACAGACAGAGAGGCUGCUCAACAACACGUGACCCAUCUGUAAGGGUCCAGGGUCCAGUCUGAUCAGACUCAAGUGCAGAAUUAAAAUGCCAAAUUAUGCUAUGGGAAUUUUUAUUUUCCACUCACAGAAAGCCCAAUCUCCUUUUUCCUGUGAAAAGGACAUGAAGUUAAUGAUGCGAGAAGUGUAGACCAAAGAGAUAAUGCCUUUUAGAGAGACAUUAAUUACGAUGUCCAGUAUUUUGUGGGUACACAUUACUCAUGGGGUCCUGCAGAAAAAAAAAGAAAGAAAAGAAACAUUUUCUACCAAAACAGACGCAGGCCAAGGUGGGCAUGAUGAUAGCGAAGCUCUCUCAGAAGAGCAAUGUUGUGACGAAUUGGAUGUGGCAGGAUGUCCUAUUGGAAUCCAAGAAAGAAUUGUUGCGAAAAUGAAAUGCACAACCAAUAUUUUUGUUUGGAAAUAUAGCCCAAAUGUUGUUGACAUUUCAAGCACUAACGAAUUUAGCUAAUAUUAAGUAAAUUGUUUUGACUGGAUUUGUUUUUGUAAGUUUUGUGACACUCCUCUUAAAGCUAAACAUUUACAGUACAUCAUAUCAUCUGUGAAAUUUGUUUUGAAUUUCUUUACCUGGACAGAGUAAGGGGAAAAUAUAAUUUUCUUUGCAAUGGCAUAAAACAUCAUUGCAACAAGAAAAACAUAUCAGAUAUACAUGCAAUCAUUAGGCAUAUCCGUUAUAAUCUAUCAGGUGAUGACAUAUUGUUUUUAGCCAUAUGUACGUAUAUGGAAGGGCACAGACUGAGGUGCUGAAAACUAGUCCUAACCCAUCCAGUAAGGGGUGGCAAUUAAGAAAUAUAACGAGAUAUUAUAUUUCAAAACUGACUCACAUAGUUGCAGGAGGCAUCAAGCCACAGUAAUGAUCUGAAGUGUUAUGUAAAUGAACACAGGAGAGGCUGGGCUUGUAAUGAAUUGUUUUUCAUUAUACUGUUUGUUUUGUUCGGCUCCACGGAAAGGUAUUUGGUUUCAUAGAAAGUCUACUUCUGUGUAUUUGAGGACUGCUUUGUAUGCUGUCUGAAAACUGAAUAUUUUUAGUUGUUUCUAUUGCAAUCAAAUGGCAAUCUGGAAUCUGGUUUCCCUGUAAAAGCAAAACUGUUUGAAAAAAAUCUGAAAAACAAAAACAAGUUUUGCAUUUAUUUAAUGGAGUGACUGAACAGUCCUGCUAAGGCCAUGAGAUAAUAACCAAAAUAAAUAACCAGCCUAAAUAACCAGCUGCAGUGAAAUGGUAUAUGUUUGUUCAGCUUGUCUGUGGUAACAGGAAAUACAAAACAAGCCAGAUUUGUCCAUACAACAGUGCCCUAGUUAAAGUGGACAUUUGAGGGCUGGAAAUGUAACAUCAAAACCUGGCCAAUCAGGUUUCCAUUCUGUUGUCCCCUCAGGUUAAUGUUGUCUAUUAUACAGCUCCUCAGAAUGUUGCCAAAAAAAUUCCAUUGAUUUGAAAUGGCCACCCCAACGUUCGGAAGUCUGAUAUUUCUUUCUAUUGACCGCUGAAAAAAAUGAAUGACCGCUGCCAUUGGUAACGGGUUUUGUGCUUUCACAUCUUUCAUAUAAUUCCACAAGUAGUCCGUUCUUGUUUCAUCCUGAAGGGAUUUUUUUUCAAUAUUAGCCAGGAGGGAUAUCUUUUAGGAGCUUGAGGUCAGAAUUGAAGUUAAAUAUCAAUAUUUCUCAGGUUCUCAGAGGAGAUAGCAUGUGGCUGCUAACCACAUGGAACCUUUCAGAGACUUCACUUUACUCAUAAGGCCCCAAUCAGCUACCCCAGUGGUGGCACACUUCCUCUAUAGAAAUUAAAUUAAAGUCUUUUUAUUACACAGUGCAUCCACACAUGCUUGUGAGUCAUUACAAUGACAAUGGCAAUUGAGGCAUAUCACCUCCGUAUGGCUGGGAUUAUACUAAGCAACAAUGUGCAGAGUGAACGCCAUGCCAUUUCACCUUUCAGCGAUGGUGUGAAUGAAGUUAAGCAGAACGGAAAUGGAACAAGAGCUGAAAACAAUCCCCUGACACAAUAUCCCAUAAUAUAACACCUCAUUCAUUUCCGUGGUAACUAUUUAAUGUGAUGUCGCCCCAUACCCUAGACUUUGUUGUUCUGUUCUGAACAUCAACUUUGAAGAGGAGAGCAGGAAAUAAACACAAAUAGAGCUGACAGGUGAGGUGCUAACAAUGCUGUUAUUGCGUAAGAGUCUGGGACUCAGUGCUUUGAGUUUGAGUAUGAUUAGCCUUUGUCAAGGAAGUCCCAGACUAAAAGAGCAGUGAAAUUAUCAGUUACCGAAAGCCCCCUUCUCUCCCCUUAAAUGGCAUCAAAAGGUAAACAAAGACUUUCAUCUUUUCUGAAUCAAACAUCCUGCAAAUUACCUUUCAAAACUUCAGAGGCACGCAAAUACUGGCAGGAUAAUAGUUCAAAUAACCGAGUUUAAAAUGACCUUAAAUAUCAGAUAUUGGUUGACACCGUUAGCCUUCGUGUAAUGUUACUGUGGAUAUCAACAUAAAAAUAUCUCUGAACAUACAGUAUUUUUACUGCAUCAGAAUUGUUAAAUUUUACACUGAAAUGGCCGUGUAUAAAUAUAACACUCAAACCGUGUUCCAGACUAUUUUGAGCGUUGUGUGUAAUUAUUGACAAAUCUGUCACAUCAAUAGGGCAAUGGAUUUCAUUCCAAAUCCAUUGUUUGCACUCAGAUCCGACUCUCUUAAAUUCUUAAGGUAAUUUUGAGUUUAAAAUACAUAUAAUUACAAUAUAAUAAAGUUCAUAAUAACAACAACCAAGGGAAGAAGCCAUAACAUGGUCAGACGUUAAGAAUAAAAAAAAUAUUACUGGUCGCAGUUACCUCCGACUCAUUAAAACACGAUACAAAGGAGGUUUUCUAUUUGUUGUAAUUGAAAUCUCACAGGAGUAGAUUGCCUUGUGCAUCUUUUUGACCCUGCCAUAUAACAAACAAGCAAUUACUCUAAAACCAGUCUCUUAUCUUUGCUAUGGAAACCAAUCCAUUCUCUGUUGUCUUGUGCAAAACAUUGGAUUUGUAAUUAAAUUUGGACUUAUAUAUAAUAUAUAUAAUACAGCAUAUGGCUUUUACCUUUACAGCAGCUGAACAUCAACAAUGUAAUGUUCACCAAACACAACACACAGAGAGGGAAUGAGUGAGAUUUUUUUCAGCUGUAACAAAAAGCACCAAACGAGUCUAUAUCCUCCACUAACACCCCUCUCCCAUCAUUUUGUUGACAAUAAGUGCGAUAAGUGUACUGCAUAAUGCAUUCAUGUUUUGUUAUUUAUGAGGCUGCAUAUUCUGGGCAUAUGUGCGCUUAGUGAUUGAAUUUGCAGUGACGUGCCCCGGGCUUCACUAUAGGUUGAUGUAUACAUUCGCCUUCAUCCUGACAGCACGUUUCCUCGUGUAAUCAUCUCGGCUUUAUAUGUGUCUCCAUACCGACAGUUGCUCUAAUUAUACAUACUUACACAGAAGUUGCCUUGUAGGGAAAACUAGAUGAGCAACACUAACCUGCAUAAAGAACAGUAAAGUGGUGUCUGACACUCCAAAUUCCUUCAGUUAAAAUUCUACUUAACUUAAAGCAAGUAUUGAAAUGAUUUAUUUGUAAUACUUCUUCUUCAACAUUUAAUAAGACUUCAGUGUUCUUAAUUGUACACAGAAGGUGUUAUAAUGUGAAAAUAUAAAAGUUUUUGGGACCACAUAAUUUGUUGCAACAUAUAUUUUAGCUCUUCAUGGCAAGAUACUGGUAAUUCUACUUAUUGAAACACCUAUAAUGCAUUAUUUUACAAAAGUGACAGCCUUAUAUUCUUGUAUAUGUUGUUGUGAAUAUUUUAUGAAUAAUUACUAAGGCUUAUAUCAAGCAUUGAUAGGCAUCAUUAAUAUGCUAUUAACUCUGAUGAACACCCACAUAAUUCUUUAAUGGAUGCCUGCUUUAAUUAAAGGGGCUGAAAGUAAGCCUGACUAGCUGUUGGCUAACGAGCCAUAUGAUUUGUGUAUUACUCUGUUUGUGCAUCCUUCUCCCUUCACAGGAAGUAAACCAUAACUUUGGCCAAGGUGGCAGAGGCUAAAGGCUACAUGUAGCAUGGAAACAUUUAUAUGAUUGAAAGACGUCCAAGUUUCCAUUAGUUUCUCCAUUAACAUCGAUUGAUAUUUACAAUAAAUUGGUCGAGGCAAACAGACCCCUAUAGGUCUUCAUUUAUACACUAGAGCUUUUGAGCUCGCUGAUAGUCCAACCAUUAAUGUUAACUGAUGAGCUUGCUACUGAUCCACCAACUACGGGACAGCAAUGCUUACUUGGGGUGCGUUCGUAAAUUUGCUCUCUAGGUCGAAUCAAUCAGCAUCACGGGGAUUAUUCUGUGUCAACAGGCAUUUCUUCCUAUACCCUUGUUCUGUUUGCUUGCCAAUGACUUUAGAUCACCAUGAUAGGGGCUUAAAGCUAUUAAAGCCUUUAACUAUGUUUCUACAGACACAGUAUUUAAUGCACAUCUGCAAGCCAAAAGGUAAUGCUGUGAAAUCACACAGUUGUGCUGGAAGUACAAAGAUCAGACAGUAAAAGCUGCUUCCUCUCCCGUGCUGCCACUCUGCAUCGAACGCUCCCCAUCCCACUCAAAAUUCUGCCACGCACACGAGACAAAUCACCGUCUUGAAGUUUAUUUUAGCUUCUCUCAAAACUCCAAAAGCUCCCUCUUGUGCUGUGAGAUAAGGGGGAGGAGGGGAAACUGUUUAAAUGUUCCCUUUGUGUUCAAAAGCUUAGAGCUCCGUUUGAGUCACUGUGUUCAGCAUCACCAUGGACUGACAUGUGUGCUGGGUAUUGUCAUAUCAAAGUCGAGACUCAAUAGCGAAAUGUUCAAACCCUUCUUUUUCUCUGUUGAAGCACAUUGCCCCAAUGGCAAGGCAGAGUUGAGCCGGGCCUAAUGCACACAGCGAGUGAAAUAUCAGUUCAUGCUGGGUGGUACUUGUGGAAAAGGGUAGAGAAAUAAUGGAAGGGAGCGGAGAGACACAUUGAGAAUUUAUUCCAGAGCUUUAAUGAGUUUCUUCACAAAUGUGCCCGUUUUCUCAAUCAGACACUUGCCAUUAAAAGAUAACUCAAGUCUCUCCUGAAUAAACUGUCACAUAGUUUUGGGGAAAUCAUAAUACUGCUAUAUUAAAACUCAUUAAUUGAACUCAUUCUCAUCCAAAAUGGCAAUGAAGUCAAUGUGUGGCUUUCUUUACAAGUGACCUAUAAAAUAAUAUGCAAUUUUCCUUGUAAAGUACAUUUCUAUGUCCAUUAUAGGUCCAACA